This 1609-nucleotide long non-coding RNA is filed under the name Eucalyptus grandis. Its description in RNAcentral is "long non-coding RNA (EGRA_LNC004929)". The record is from RNAcentral. Lineage: Eukaryota; Viridiplantae; Streptophyta; Magnoliopsida; Myrtales; Myrtaceae.
AUCGCUAAACCCUAAGGGGCUCUUCCUUUCCUUUUCGCGAGCUAGGGUUAGGGUUGCUCUGGUGGCCACAUCUCUUCGUUCAACGCGGGCAGCGAGAGUGAUGCUCUCGAUGUUCCUCGUGUGCUCGGCCGUUGCGAGUUGCUGACUCUCCUCCUACAUCGCCAACUGGAUGAUACGCCCGAUCGAUAGCAUGGGAUCCAUAGCAAGGAUUUGUGAUCGAAACGUGAGGUAUGAUUAGUUUAGAAUCAGCAGAAAUCGCGUGGCUUUUUCUCUUUCUUUAAUCCUUUUAUAUUGCUUGAGGAUAGAUUCCGGCCCUUUGAGCUUUUCUUUUACUGCCUCGAGUUGAUUCCAAAGUGAUGAUAGUCUGUUGAAGCAGGCCGUGACCAUCAUGUUUCCUUGUUUAAGCUCGCUGAUUUCCUGCAUGAGAUUGAAAAUUUUGGCUUGAUCUAGUCUACCAUACAUUUCUCUUAUGUUUUCCCACAUAGUUUUUGCAUCCUCUGUGGGUGGAAGUCCAACUACUACUUCUGGGGAUAUGUAAAUCUCAAUCCAUGUUUGGACAAGUUGAUUGCACUUCCGCCAGUGUCGGGCUAGGCGUUCAUCGAAGGGGAUCGCGACGGUUCCAUUGAGGAACCCGUCUUUGUCCUUUGUCACCAGUGCCCGCCAAAGCUCCUGUGAUCACUUCGAAUAACUCUCUGGUCCAGUCAAUUGCUGGCUUAUCAGUCGAAGCUUCGGUCCGUCGGCAGUGGAGACAUACAGAGGGUCACCUAGUUCUGGUCAUCCAGUGAACGCUGCUACUGGAACAAGCAAAAAUCCGGUAAUGAAAUUCAAGUAAGGAUUCGUCCCUUGACCCAAUUUGCCCGACCCAACCGGAUAACCCGCAUUGAGAUAUCCCGGGUAAGGAUUCGUCCCUUGACCCGAUUCGCUCACCCGUCUGCUCCAUUCCGAUGGUUGGGCUUGCCCCAUUUGUGGCUGACGGGCCCCCAUCAUAACUCUGGUGGCCCACGAAAACAGGCGAUGAGGAACUUGGGCUUGGCCCAAAAUAUAGUGGAUAUGGGAUCCACUAGUAUGGUUGGCCCAUCGUGGGUUGCCCCAAAUGGAAUUGAGUCUGCGUGGGCCGCCACUGCACAGGUUGGGCUUGAGUUGAUUGUUGGUCGGAUACUGGAAUUAUUGCAGGGAGAUUCUGGAUCUGUGGAGCUUGAGGACUUCCUUCGUCUCCAGUGGUCCUGUUGUCGGCAGCUGGAUUGAAGUCUUGCGGGGAAGCCAUGGUGAGUCAAAAAAAAAAAAUCCUUCAUUCGAGAGUAUGCCUAAUGCCAAAUGAUUGAUUCCUUCGCAAGUUGAGGAUUCUCUUUGGCAGCAGUUUGAGGCGGAAGCGAGUCAAAGACCGAGUUGCUCUGAUACCAUGUAAGAAGGCAAAGAGAAGAAGGAAUGAUGGACGGAGUCCAGAGAGAACGAUAGAGAACAGCGUAGGAAAAUUUGUUGUAUUCUUUCAUGUAAUACUGAAUGUACAAUUCUCCUAAGAUAUAAUACAAGUUGUGUCCUGUGUAAGGAAAUAAAUGAUCCUAAAUAUCAAUCUAGAUCAAAUCUAAUAUUUAAUUGAUAUAUAUAUAUA